CAGUAGCCGCGGGAAUACGAAGGGGGCUAGCGUUGCUCGGAAUGACUGGGCGUAAAGGGCGCGUAGGCGGCGGCCAAAGUCAGGCGUGAAAUUCCCGGGCUCAACCUGGGGGCUGCGUUUGAUACUUGGUUGCUUGAGUGGGGAAGAGGGUCGUGGAAUUCCCAGUGUAGAGGUGAAAUUCGUAGAUAUUGGGAAGAACACCGGUGGCGAAGGCGGCGACCUGGUCCUUUACUGACGCUGAGGCGCGAAAGCGUGGGGAGCAAACAGGAUUAGAGACCCCCGUAGUCCCUGUCUCUUAUAC
Molecule: ribosomal RNA, 301 nt
Filed under: uncultured bacterium
Lineage: Bacteria
Description: partial 16S ribosomal RNA
Rfam family: Bacterial small subunit ribosomal RNA
Source: RNAcentral